CCUACGGGCGGCAGCAGUGGGGAAUAUUGGGCAAUGGGCGCAAGCCUGACCCAGCAACGCCGCGUGAAGGAAGAAGGCCCUCUGGUUGUAAACUUCUUUUUACAAGGACGCAGAAAGUGACGGUACCUGUUGAAUAAGCCACGGCUAACUACGUGCCAGCAGCCGCCGGAAUACGGAGGUGGCCAGCCGUAUCCGGAUUUACUGGGUGUAAAGGGCGUGUAGGCGGGAGAGCAAAUCAGACGUGAAAUUCCAGGGCUCAACCCCUGAACAGCGUUUGAAACUGGUCUUCUUGAGUGAGCGAGAAGUAGGCGGAAUGCGGGGUGUAGCGGUGAAAUGCGUAGAUAUACGGCAGAACUCCAGUUGCGAAGGCGGCAUGCCGGA
RNAcentral lists this ribosomal RNA (381 nucleotides) under uncultured bacterium. RNAcentral's name for it is "partial 16S ribosomal RNA". It matches the Rfam family "Bacterial small subunit ribosomal RNA", at positions 338 to 733 of the family's 1533-position model. The record is from RNAcentral.